This is a long non-coding RNA of Mus musculus (house mouse), 1313 nucleotides long. RefSeq annotates it as predicted gene, 41546. NCBI's taxonomy places the organism in Eukaryota, Metazoa, Chordata, Mammalia, Rodentia, Muridae. The record is from RefSeq and is a predicted model, not a curated record. The transcript is spliced from 3 exons.
GUGCUGUCUGUGUUGGCCAUGAACUACCUCCUCUUGAGCAACACGGAACUCCAAGUUCUGUUACAGACUGUCCAAGAAUGAACUUGUCACUAGAUCUGUGUCUGAGGGAUGCCACCCAGAUCAUAUGGACAGUGCAGCCAGAGGAGGUGCCUGAGACAAACCCCUGUGCAGACAAGGAUGUGCAGUCAACAGGGUGCCACAACCUUUGCUCUCUCCAUUCCCAGCUACCCCCAACCCAACCCCAGCACCUCCUUGCCUGCUACCUAAGCUGGAAGCCAGCAGCUAGCUGUGUGACCUUAGGAAGCUCACACGCCCUCUCUGAGCAUCUCUACUUGCCCACUGCAGCGCUGUGGUGUGACGAAAGAGUUGGCCCAAGCACAGCUGAACCGGGACCAGGCCUGUGGGAAGGAAUGUAAAACCUGUUACCCACCCAGAAAGCUGUGAGCGGACAUGCUAUCCAGGCUGGUGACCUUUGCUCUGUCUGUGUGGCAAGAUUCUGGCCCUGGAUCAUCCCCUAGGCCCUUAUGGUAAGUGUGCUUUUCAACCUGUCUUUAUGGAUUUUACACAGAGAUGGCUUGCUUUAUUUGCUUGUUGCUUUUGUUUCUUUUGUUUUUGUUUUGUUUUUUGAAACAGGGACUUGUUACAGUUGCCAAUUAACCUCUCAAGUAAACCAACAGUAGCAGCAGCAGCAGCAGCAGCAGCAGCAGCAGCAGCAAGUUCCUCACUCCCUGCCCCAAAGGUCUGAGUUCCCGAAUGAAAGACACACACACACACACACACACACACACACACACACACACACGGCCUUAGAUUUUAAUAUGCCUUAAACAGCUCAAUGGUUAGACCACUUCAGAAUGUCCAUGUGGCUAGCACCUCCCCUUUGAUACUCCUAUAUUCUGUCUUUGCUGCCCUAGACCCAAACAGAGCCCCUGGGGCCGCUCUUCCCCCUGGGGCCGCCCUUCCCAGACUCUUACAUGAUCUGUGUACUCUGAUCUUCUGCACCUCUCCAGCCUGAAUCUUCUUUCCCAUUGUAGUGGUUCUCCCUCCUUCCUCUCUCGGUCCCUUUGCCCUAAAGUCCCACCUCUGUCUUCCUGCCUAGCCUUGGCCACCGGCAACUUUAUUUACCAAUCAAAGCCAACUGGGGGCAAGGACCCUCAGUGAGCGCUUUGCAUGCAGAUUCUGGUGCAGUUUUGGGAAUCCAAAUAACAUGAUACAAGCGGUAGACCAAAUCCUCAACAGAUCUCACUACAUAGCUCUAGCUGUCCUGGAACUCACUCUGUAGACCAGGCUGGCUUCAAACUCACAGAAAUCUG